Ictalurus punctatus (channel catfish) is the source of this 1189-nucleotide long non-coding RNA. RefSeq lists it as uncharacterized. The record is from RefSeq and is a predicted model, not a curated record. The transcript has 3 exons. NCBI's taxonomy places the organism in Eukaryota, Metazoa, Chordata, Actinopteri, Siluriformes, Ictaluridae.
UCAGCGGACACAGGACCGGAGUCCUGCAGAACCUCACAGCCGAGGAGUUUGAGAACCUCGAGAAGGCUGACGGCGGUCUCUUUCUGAUCAAUGUGAAGCAGCACAAACCUGCCUCCGCUUUCGGACUCGCUAAGCUGGCCGUCACCAAGCUGGAGCUGAAGUGGCUGAAAGCUUUCUGAGGAAGCAUAUGCUGGGAUAUGAGACUUCUGUGGGGUGGCUUUUCUUUUCUGGCACACAGGCCAGGAUUUCUGCGCAUGUCAAGCUUGCCCUGCGGGCACUCGUGGGAAGGGACAUCACUGUGUGGGGCACCCGCACGGCUCUAGCAACCUACUGCGAACGCAAUCUGUCUGACGAAUGGCGCAUGCUCGUGACCAAAACGAUGUGCCACAGCAAGGAGCUGAGUCGUGGAGUCGUGAGCGCUUCAUUAAAAAGUUUGAACUGAAUUCCGCUUGUCUGAAUAUUUUGACAUGUCCAAAUGUACAGUAGCAUCACUCAUGGCAAGACCAUACAGCCGAAAUGUCCUGUCCUUUUUUUUUGUUGUUUUUUUUUUUUUUUUUAAAGUACAUGGACUGAGCUCCGGGCAGUGGGUGAAGUUCGCAGGCUUUGCCCGGGGAGACAGAGUCAUCCUGGGCAUACACUCGUCAGCUCCAGAAUGAUCACCGCUGAAUUUUUUCCUCGUUGAUUAUAAUGGUUUAUGCGUUCCUAGUCAGGGCAAGCUACUGUUUGUUGCACCUCUUCCAUCCUCCUCCACGGUCUGAAGCCAGCUGCAGCCACCUUUUCAUCACCGUCACAAUCUCAGCACUUGUUGCCCUUGAUGCUAAUGGGUUCUUUCGGACAGUAUCUAAUGAACAUGAGGCAAAACAGUUGACAACUUCUGCAAUUCGAAACACGCUAAAAAGGCUAUUUAUACUUCUACGUCAGACCUUUGCGUUGCCUGAUGUGCACCUCUAAAGAAAACUGUAAUAACGCGUCGUGUGUAUGCAGACAACAGUUGUGAUUGGUCCUUUGUGCAAACAGAGACCCUCCCCGGGAUGAUAAAUAUAUCUGCAGUAAUUUCAUAUUCACUGAGAAUAAAUGUAAUGAAGCAGAUUGCUUGUAGCUUAUAAUAAAAGUGCUGAGGCUUAUUACACACAGACGGGUUGAACAUAGGGAUGCACGAUUAUGGCCAAAAUGAUAAUCCUGAUUAUUU